This 253-nucleotide ribosomal RNA is filed under the name uncultured bacterium. RNAcentral's name for it is "partial 16S ribosomal RNA". It matches the Rfam family "Bacterial small subunit ribosomal RNA", at positions 524 to 776 of the family's 1533-position model. The record is from RNAcentral.
GACGAAGGAUGCAAGCGUUAUCCGGAUUCAUUGGGUUUAAAGGGUGCGUAGGCGGCUUAUUAAGUCAGUGGUGAAAUACUCUAGCUCAACUAGAGGGGUGCCAUUGAUACUGAUGAGCUUGAGUACAGAUGAGGUAGGCGGAAUUGACGGUGUAGCGGUGAAAUGCUUAGAUAUCGUCAAGAACACCUAUAGCGAAGGCAGCUUACUAGGCUGUAACUGACGCUGAGGCACGAAAGUGUGGGGAUCAAACAGG